AUCAGCAACUAAAACAACAACAACAACAAAAAACAAAGAAACAAACAAGAAUGCAAGCUUUCGUACUGCCAGCUACACUAAGUAUCCUAUUGGCCUGUGUGACACCAUCAUUUCAGUGGGGAGGAUACUACAAUAAACCAGGAAGGAAUUGGCUGAUAAUACAAAUUUAACGAUUCUUCAAACAGUAGGUUUUGGUUUAUCUGGAGAACAUUUCAGAGCUACGAUGAAAGAAUGUAGUAACAUUUUGAAAGAGCAAUCAUUGAGGCUGAAAAUGUUAAUGGGGAGACACCUUUGAUGUUUGCAUAAAGGAGCAAAUGUGAACAUGACUGAUAACUAACAGGGUACUGCCCUGAUGUUUGCAUCCUACAAAGGGCACAUUGACAUAGUAAGAUUGUUAAUAAGCUCAGGUGCAAGCAUGGAUAUUGUCAACACUAGUGGCAUGACAGCACAGACUAUAGCACUACUACGAGGCCAGGGCGAAAUACUUUCGUUUCUUGUUAGCCCAGAAGGAGUACUUGUAAUUUCGUAAAAUCGGCCGUCGAAGAGGUCCACCUAGAGUCUUCACCAGGAUUUGAACACAGGUUUUCCGGUUCCAAGUGCUUUACCCCUCAGCCACAGCAUCUCCAUAAAUUCAUUUAGCGUACACUUAUAUUUUUGAAAACAAUAAUUAUUAACCUUAUCCUUACAUUCAAAAUGUAUAACAUGCUACAUAAAGAGAAACUAAAAAGAUUUAAUCUUCUUACAAAAUUAGAUACAAUUGGCAGCACAAAAAAAUUAUUGUCGUACUUUAAAGAGUGACUUGACAGACUUGGACAAGACUUUUUACCUCGCAAAUAGAAAUGAAU
This is a long non-coding RNA of Biomphalaria glabrata, 845 nucleotides long. RefSeq lists it as uncharacterized. The transcript has 5 exons. The record is from RefSeq and is a predicted model, not a curated record. NCBI's taxonomy places the organism in Eukaryota, Metazoa, Mollusca, Gastropoda, Planorbidae.